GGAGAAUUACUCAAGUUGGUUGAAGAGGACGGUUUGCUAAACCGUUAGGUCGGGGAAUCCCGGCGCGAGAGUUCGAAUCUCUCAUUCUCCGCCA
Molecule: transfer RNA, 94 nt
Filed under: Clostridiales bacterium
Lineage: Bacteria; Bacillati; Bacillota; Clostridia; Eubacteriales
Description: tRNA-Ser
Rfam family: tRNA
About the family: Transfer RNA (tRNA) molecules are approximately 80 nucleotides in length. Their secondary structure includes four short double-helical elements and three loops (D, anti-codon, and T loops).
Source: RNAcentral